RNAcentral lists this ribosomal RNA (305 nucleotides) under uncultured bacterium. RNAcentral describes it as "bacterial SSU rRNA". It matches the Rfam family "Bacterial small subunit ribosomal RNA", at positions 337 to 659 of the family's 1533-position model. The record is from RNAcentral.
CCCUACGGGGGGCAGCAGUGGGGAAUAUUGCACAAUGGGGGAAACCCUGAUGCAGCAACGCCGCGUGAGUGAAGAAGUAUUUCGGUAUGUAAAGCUCUAUCAGCAGGGAAGAAAAUGACGGUACCUGAGUAAGAAGCCCCGGCUAACUACGUGCCAGCAGCCGCGGUAAUACGUAGGUGGCAAGCGUUAUCCGGAUUUACUGGGUGUAAAGGGCGUGUAGGCGGGACUGCAAGUCAGAUGGGAAAAUUAUGGGCUCAACCCAUAACCUGGAUUUGAAACUGGAGUUCUUGAGUGAUGGAGAGGCG